This 85-nucleotide transfer RNA is filed under the name Chaetosphaeridium globosum. RNAcentral describes it as "tRNA-Ser". It matches the Rfam family "tRNA". Rfam says of the family: Transfer RNA (tRNA) molecules are approximately 80 nucleotides in length. Their secondary structure includes four short double-helical elements and three loops (D, anti-codon, and T loops). Lineage: Eukaryota; Viridiplantae; Streptophyta; Coleochaetophyceae; Coleochaetales; Chaetosphaeridiaceae. The record is from RNAcentral.
GGAUGGAUGUCUGAGUGGUUUAAAGUAUCAGUCUUGAAAACUGACGCAUCGAAAGGUGUCGGGGGUUCGAAUCCCUCUCCAUCCU